This 374-nucleotide ribosomal RNA is filed under the name uncultured Gaiellaceae bacterium. RNAcentral describes it as "bacterial SSU rRNA". It matches the Rfam family "Bacterial small subunit ribosomal RNA", at positions 524 to 896 of the family's 1533-position model. Lineage: Bacteria; Bacillati; Actinomycetota; Thermoleophilia; Gaiellales; Gaiellaceae. The record is from RNAcentral.
UACGUAGGGAGCGAGCGUUGUCCGGAAUUAUUGGGCGUAAAGCGCGUGUAGGCGGCUUGAUAAGUCUGAUGUGAAAUCUCGGAGCUCAACUCCGAACGUGCAUUGGAUACUGUCAGGCUAGAGUCCGGAAGAGGAGUGUGGAAUUCCUGGUGUAGCGGUGGAAUGCGCAGAUAUCAGGAGGAACACCAAUGGCGAAGGCAGCACUCUGGUACGUGACUGACGCUGAGACGCGAAAGCGUGGGGAGCGAACAGGAUUAGAUACCCUGGUAGUCCACGCCGUAAACGAUGGGUACUAGGUGUCAGGGGUAUCGACUCCCUUGGUGCCGCAGCUAACGCGUUAAGUACCCCGCCUGGGGAGUACGGCCGCAAGGCUA